RNAcentral lists this ribosomal RNA (1125 nucleotides) under Triticum aestivum (bread wheat). Its description in RNAcentral is "partial small subunit ribosomal RNA". Lineage: Eukaryota; Viridiplantae; Streptophyta; Magnoliopsida; Poales; Poaceae. The record is from RNAcentral.
AUGACUUUCGGGAAAAACUCAGCACCAGCGAGCGAGCGUGCCGCUCUUUCGCGGCAUCGCCUGCCCCAUUUGAUGAGCCUACACCCACAGGCGGGCCGCGCCGCGGCACGCGCGGCAGAGCAUGGAGCCAUCGCCGGCCUGGCCGCCGCCACCUCCAGGAUCGCCUCCCACGGCCGCGCCGGCGACGCCGCCGCGGCGCGCGCCGUGUUCGACGCGAUGCCCCGCCGCGACGCCGUCGCGUGGAACGCCAUGCUCACCGCCUACGCCCGCGCCGGCCAGCCGCGCGCGGCCCUCGCGCUCUUCGCCGGCAUGGGCACGCCGGACGCCUUCUCCCUCACCGCAGCGCUCUCCGCGGCGGCCUCCCUCCGCUGCCCUCACGCAGGCGCGCAGCUCCACGCCCGCCUCCUCCGCCUCGGCCUGCGCGCGCCGCUCCCCGUCGGCAACGCGCUCGUCGCCAUGUACGCCAGGUGCGCCCGCGCAGACGACGCCGCGCGCGCCUUCCGGGAGAUGCGCGACCGCAACGCGCUGUCGUGGUGCUCGCUCCUCCACGCCUACGUCGCCUCGGGCCGUAUGGCGCUGGCGCGCGAGCUGUUUGACGAAAUGCCCGCUGGAAGCAUCAGCAGUGUUGCCUGGAACACGCUGCUCACGGGGUAUUCCCGCAGUGGCAAUGCCGAGCAGUGUCUGCUUCUGUUCAACGAGAUGCGGGUGUCGGGGCUGUCUUGCGACGAUGCAACGCUCUGCAUUCUAAUCGACGCUUGCACGGAGCUGCGCUACCCAUCCACCGGGGUUGCAGUCCACAAGAUCGUUGUGCAGAGUGGCUGGAAUGCAAUCCCCGAAGUCAAUAACUCACUUAUUUCCUUCUACAGUAAGUUCAGCUUGCUAGAUCAUGCCGUCAAGAUCUUCGAGUCUAUGGUGAGUAGAACCGUCGUGUCCUGGAAUUCACUGAUCGAUGCAUACACAAGGCUUGGCCACAUUGAACAAGCUGCUGCUCUGUUUCAAAGUGCUCCUGAGACCAAUGCCAUCUCCUGGACUUCGAUGAUUGGAGGUUUUGCGAGGAAUGGCUGCGCAGAUGAUGCCCUUGCACUAUUUGUCAAGAUGCUGGCACACGAGCAUAUCUGUCGAUAG